Molecule: ribosomal RNA, 486 nt
Filed under: uncultured bacterium
Lineage: Bacteria
Description: partial 16S ribosomal RNA
Rfam family: Bacterial small subunit ribosomal RNA
Source: RNAcentral
AUUGAACGCUGGCGGCAUGCCUUACACAUGCAAGUCGAACGGCAGCACGGGUGCUUGCACCUGGUGGCGAGUGGCGAACGGGUGAGUAAUACAUCGGAACAUGUCCUGUAGUGGGGGAUAGCCCGGCGAGAGCCGGAUUAAUACCGCAUACGAUCCACGGAUGAAGGCGGGGGACCUUCGGGCCUCGCGCUAUAGGGUUGGCCGAUGGCUGAUUAGCUAGUUGGUGGGGUAAAGGCCUACCAAGGCGACGAUCAGUAGCUGGUCUGAGAGGACGACCAGCCACACUGGGACUGAGACACGGCCCAGACUCCUACGGGAGGCAGCAGUGGGGAAUUUUGGACAAUGGGCGAAAGCCUGAUCCAGCAAUGCCGCGUGUGUGAAGAAGGCCUUCGGGUUGUAAAGCACUUUUGUCCGGAAAGAAAUCCUUGACUCUAAUACAGUCGGGGGAUGACGGUACCGGAAGAAUAAGCACCGGCUAACUACGUG